UACGUAGGGUGCGAGCGUUAAUCGGAAUUACUGGGCGUAAAGCGCGCGCAGGCGGUUCUAUGAGACAGAUGUGAAAUCCCCGGGCUCAACCUGGGAAUGGCAUUUGUGACUGUAGAACUAGAGUACGGUAGAGGGGGAUGGAAUUCCGCGUGUAGCAGUGAAAUGCGUAGAUAUGCGGAGGAACACCGAUGGCGAAGGCAAUCCCCUGGACCUGUACUGACGCUCAUGCACGAAAGCGUGGGGAGCAAACAGG
RNAcentral lists this ribosomal RNA (253 nucleotides) under uncultured bacterium. Its description in RNAcentral is "partial 16S ribosomal RNA". It matches the Rfam family "Bacterial small subunit ribosomal RNA", at positions 524 to 776 of the family's 1533-position model. The record is from RNAcentral.